Oryza rufipogon (brownbeard rice) is the source of this 210-nucleotide microRNA precursor. It matches the Rfam family "MIR812 microRNA precursor family". Lineage: Eukaryota; Viridiplantae; Streptophyta; Magnoliopsida; Poales; Poaceae. The record is from Rfam.
AAUAAGGUGAUUCGUGGGUUUCCGUGUCCAACUUUGACCAUCUGUCUUAUAUGAAUUUUUUAUUAAUUAAUAUUUUUAUUUUUAUUUUUAUUAGAUGAUAUAACAUGAAUAAUAUUUUAUGCGUGACUUAUCUUUUUAAAUUUUUUCAUAUUUUUUUCAAAUAAAACGGACGGUUAAAGGUUGUACAUGGAAACUCACGAAUCACUUAUU